AUUGAACGCUGGCGGCAGGCCUAACACAUGCAAGUCGAGCGGAUGAGAGGAGCUUGCUCCUCGAUUCAGCGGCGGACGGGUGAGUAAUGCCUAGGAAUCUGCCUAGUAGUGGGGGACAACGUUUCGAAAGGAACGCUAAUACCGCAUACGUCCUACGGGAGAAAGUGGGGGAUCUUCGGACCUCACGCUAUUAGAUGAGCCUAGGUCGGAUUAGCUAGUUGGUGGGGGAAAGGCCUACCAAGGCGACGAUCCGUAACUGGUCUGAGAGGAUGAUCAGUCACACUGGAACUGAGACACGUUCCAGACUCCUACGGGAGGCAGCAGUGGGGAAUAUUGGACAAUGGGCGAAAGCCUGAUCCAGCCAUGCCGCGUGUGUGAAGAAGGCCUUCGGGUCGUAAAGCACUUUAAGUUGGGAGGAAGGGCUCAUAGCGAAUACCUGUGAGUUUUGACGUUACCAACAGAAUAAGCACCGGCUAACUUCGUGCCAGCAGCCGCGGUAA
This 500-nucleotide ribosomal RNA is filed under the name uncultured bacterium. RNAcentral's name for it is "partial 16S ribosomal RNA". It matches the Rfam family "Bacterial small subunit ribosomal RNA", at positions 30 to 523 of the family's 1533-position model. The record is from RNAcentral.